This 476-nucleotide ribosomal RNA is filed under the name uncultured Planctomycetales bacterium. RNAcentral describes it as "bacterial SSU rRNA". It matches the Rfam family "Bacterial small subunit ribosomal RNA", at positions 365 to 831 of the family's 1533-position model. Lineage: Bacteria; Pseudomonadati; Planctomycetota; Planctomycetia; Planctomycetales. The record is from RNAcentral.
UUCGCAAUGCCCGAAAGGGUGACGAAGCGACGCCGCGUGUGGGAAGAAGGCCUUCGGGUUGUAAACCACUGUCGGGAGUUAAGAAAUACAAGGAUAUUAAUAGUGUCUUUGUUUGACUAAGGCUCCGGAGGAAGCCACGGCUAACUCUGUGCCAGCAGCCGCGGUAAUACAGAGGCGGCAAGCGUUGUUCGGAAUUAUUGGGCGUAAAGAGCACGUAGGCGGCUAUGUAAGUCGGUUGUGAAAGCCUUCCGCUCAACGGAAGAACAGCAUCCGAUACUACAUGGCUUGAGUGCGGGAGGGGAGAGUGGAACUUCUGGUGGAGCGGUGAAAUGCGUAGAUAUCAGAAGGAACGCCGGCGGCGAAAGCGGCUCUCUGGCCCAUAACUGACGCUGAGUGUGCGAAAGCUAGGGGAGCAAACGGGAUUAGAUACCCCGGUAGUCCUAGCCGUAAACGAUGGGCACUAAGUAGAGGGGUUA